This 483-nucleotide ribosomal RNA is filed under the name uncultured anaerobic ammonium-oxidizing bacterium. RNAcentral's name for it is "bacterial SSU rRNA". It matches the Rfam family "Bacterial small subunit ribosomal RNA", at positions 363 to 836 of the family's 1533-position model. The record is from RNAcentral.
UUUUCGCAAUGCCCGAAAGGGUGACGAAGCGACGCCGCGUGGGUGAGGAAGGCCUUCGGGUUGUAAAGCCCUGUCAGGAGUUAAGAAAUAUAAGUGCGCUAAUAUCGCAUUUAUUUGACGAAGGCUCCAAAGGAAGUCACGGCUAACUCUGUGCCAGCAGCCGCGGUAAUACAGAGGUGGCAAGCGUUGUUCGGAAUUAUUGGGCGUAAAGAGCACGUAGGUGGAUUUGUUAGUCAGAUGUGAAAGCCUUUCGUUCAACGGAAGAAUUGCAUCUGAAACUACAAACCUUGAGUAUAGGAGGGGAGAGUGGAACUUCUGGUGGAGCGGUGAAAUGCGUAGAUAUCAGAAGGAACGCCGGCGGCGAAAGCGACUCUCUGGCCUAUAACUGACACUGAGUGUGCGAAAGCUAGGGGAGCAAACGGGAUUAGAUACCCCGGUAGUCCUAGCCGUAAACGAUGGGCACUAAGUAGAGGGGUUUUAAUC